UACGGGGGGGGCAAGCGUUGUUCGGAAUUACUGGGCGUAAAGGGCUCGUAGGCGGCCAACUAAGUCAGACGUGAAAUCCCUCGGCUUAACCGGGGAACUGCGUCUGAUACUGGAUGGCUCGAGAUUGGGAGAGGGAUGCGGAAUUCCAGGUGUAGCGGUGAAAUGCGUAGAUAUCUGGAGGAACACCGGUGGCGAAGGCGGCAUCCUGGACCAACACUGACGCUGAGGAGCGAAAGCCAGGGGAGCAAACAGG
RNAcentral lists this ribosomal RNA (253 nucleotides) under uncultured bacterium. RNAcentral's name for it is "partial 16S ribosomal RNA". It matches the Rfam family "Bacterial small subunit ribosomal RNA", at positions 524 to 776 of the family's 1533-position model. The record is from RNAcentral.